AUGAAGAGAGACUCUAAGAUUUAUCUUUCCAUGCAAAAUUUGGAAUGUUUGCCACAGUUUUUAAAAGUAAUGCUUUCUCUAGCAGGAGGUUGUACAUUCCAACUGAAAAAAUCUUCAGAGAUUUUUCUGCAAGAGAGUCUCCUACAGUAUUUAUACAUCUGUUCACUAUUGUUGCCAGCUUUGACAUACAGUGAGCUUAGAAGUCAUCACUUCCAUUUUCACAAGAAAACACUGAAGAGACUAAAAAUGAAUGAUGAGGAAAACCAUCACCCUGAACACUGAAGAGACAGCAAAGUGUGAUCCCUCCAAGGGUCAUUGGAUCAUAAAGACUGAUGAAGACAUAAAAUAAUUUUUUAAGACUAUGGACUUGCUAAGUAAUUUAAAUUUUAGGUAAUUAUUUUAUCAUUUUUGCUGACGAACAUUGGAAAUGAGUUCUCUAAGACUCUGUCUAGGAAUAAACCAUAUUGUUUUUCUCUUCCGUCAGCAACAAGCUUUCCGAGUGACAGCAUAUGGGUUCUCCUUUUAAUUUUAUUCUCCCCAAAAUGGGGAUGCAAAAUAUCAGUAUACUUCACCUAAAUAAUUAUGCAUCUCUGAAGAUUGAAUAAUGCCAUUUCUAAGUCAAGUUCCAGAGAAGGAGUAAAAUAAUGAAUAUUGAGGAUUUCAGAGGAGGGAGAAAUCACUAAGAGGUGAGAUAGUAAGAAAAGACUUCAUGUAAUCUGGAACAAAAACUGGGUCCUGAAAAUUUAAGCAAAAGGAAAAAAAGGAAAGGAAAGGCAGUAAGAAAGAAAGGGUAGGAGGCAGGAGGCAGCAGGUAGGUAUUUCAAUAAAAAGGAGCAGGAUGAGCCAGAACACAAAGACAGAAUGGUUCAUGAAAUGAAAGUUAAGAACAGUAAGAACAAUUUGUUUGGCAAGAAGGAUUUAGGGUAAUACACAAUAUUAAAUUAGAUUGGAAAGGAAAGUAAGAAGUGGUCAUUUAAACCUUGGUCAUGAAACUGAAUCUGCCUUCUGUAGAAAUUCAGGAAUGUUAAAAUGUGCCUUCUGUACAAAUUCUGGACCUCUUCCGGAACGUUUUUUUAAGUGACAGUAAAUCACAGGGACACUAGAUUAUUUGGCAUGAAAAACUAAUUGUAGGCAGAGUUCAAUUAAAUUGUAGUCAAUAUCAGGAUUUUAGUGUUUGCAGCACAUUUUUAUAUAAAACCAUAUCAUUAAAUUCGUAUGCAGUUGCAAUGAAAAUCUGAGGUUCCCAUCCCUACUGAAACAUUCUCUGGGCUGAAACACAUCAGAAGGAGGGAGGGAAGGAGUGAGGGACAGGAGGGAGAGAGGAAGGGAAGGAGGAAGGAAGGAAGGAAGCCCAGUCUGAAAAAUUGAUCUUUUUAAAUCUAGAGAAAUAGCAACUAGAAAAAUAGUGAGAAGUAUAUACAAAUGUCUAGAAUUCCAUCUUAAUCUUUAAAUUUGAAUAAAAUUACCCUCAAUAUGCAUCAUUAAAAAGGAGUUAGCUUUAUAGUAAACAAAACUCACAUGAUUCAUGACUUACACAGACUUAUAUAAUCAAAAACAUUUUAAAAGUAUUAGGCAAUCAUUUCCUUCAAGAAAGAGUCCUUGUAGCUGCAGGUUUAAUUUAUCAUUAAGUAUGUUUAUCUAAGUUUCUGUGUGCCAGAGCUUGACCAAAAUCUCAGGAACCUUAAAACAAUAAGGGUUCUAAACAUAAGUAAAGAAAGUUCUCCUUUAUCUUUAAACUGGACUAUUAUAUGGCCAGCUAUGCAUUUUAGAAAUAGCAUUUUUUCAUUUCUCUCCCUGGUAGGUUCUACUUUUCAUGUUAAUUUUGUACAUAUUUCUAACCUACAUUAGUACAAAGUCACAUCUUGUACAAUAGAAAUGCAGGUUUAUUUAUAUCUGUUAAGCUUUGCUGUUAUUUAUGUUACAAAAAAAAUACUGACAGAGCAUAUUUUGUUUCUAAAAGUCUCAAUCAGUAGUGCUUUUCUGACAAUUGCAUAUUAUUUUUGAAUGAUUUCUAAUGGCAAUGAAAUAUAAGUGACAUGUGAUAGGCUUUAAAAGCAAAUAAUGGACUAUAUUAGUUCGUUUUCAUGCUCCUGAUAAAGGCACACCUGAGACAGGGUAAUUUACCAAAGAAAGAGGUUUAAUGGUGAAAUCACAUUUGUAGGUGGCUGAGAAGCCUUAUAAUCAUGGCUGAAGGCAAGAAGGAGCAAGUCACAUCUUAAGUGGAUAGCAGCAGGCAAAGAGAGGGCUUAUGCAGAGAAACUUAGUUUUUAAAACCAUCAGAUCUUGUGAGACCCAUUCACUAAUAAUGAGAACAGCAUGGGGAAGACCCUCCAUGAUUCACUCAUCUCCCACUGGGUCCCUCCUACUCCAUGUGGGAAUUAUUGGAACCACAAGAUGAGAUUUGGGUGGGGACACAGAGCCAAACCAUUUCAUGCACUAUGUCUACAUACAUCAAAUUCAUGAUAGCAAAACCAUUUAUGCGCUAGAAAACAUUUAGGUCUAGAAACAAUUGAUCUUUGAAUUACACAUUUC
Molecule: long non-coding RNA, 2532 nt
Filed under: Callithrix jacchus (white-tufted-ear marmoset)
Lineage: Eukaryota; Metazoa; Chordata; Mammalia; Primates; Cebidae
Description: lncRNA (ENSCJAG00000073231.1)
Source: RNAcentral